AGCCUCUUGAAUUAAUAAAAGGUGAUGUCUGCCCGGUGUAUUCUUUAUAAACGGCCGCGAAAGUGCUAAGGUAGCAUAAUAAUUUGUCUUUUUAUUGGAGACUAGUAUGGAAGGCAUAACGAAGCUCAACUGUCUCCUAAUUUUAACCAAAAUUUUAUAAAGAAGCGAAAAAUCUUCUAUAAAUAUGAAGGACGAGAAGACCCUAUAGAGUUUUAGUAAACAUGGCUAUAAAUAGCAUCUUACUUUUAUUGGGGCAAUAAAAGAACAUUAAAAAUCUCACCUUAUAAACCCUCAAAGAGAACCAAAAAUAAACUACCUUAGGGAUAACAGCGUAAUCUCACCAGAGAGACCUAAUCAAAGGUGAGGUUUGCGACCUCGAUGUUGGACUAAGGUAACUUUUAUGUGCAGAAGCAUAAAAUAGUAAGCCUGUUCGGCUUUUUAUACCUUACAUG
Molecule: ribosomal RNA, 452 nt
Filed under: Celleporina souleae
Lineage: Eukaryota; Metazoa; Bryozoa; Gymnolaemata; Cheilostomatida; Celleporidae
Description: partial 16S ribosomal RNA
Rfam family: Bacterial large subunit ribosomal RNA
Source: RNAcentral